Molecule: non-coding RNA, 760 nt
Organism: Podarcis muralis (Common wall lizard)
Lineage: Eukaryota; Metazoa; Chordata; Lepidosauria; Squamata; Lacertidae
Source: RefSeq, a predicted model, not a curated record
CAACAUCAGAGGCACAGCUGGUGGUGAUACAAGAGAGACUUUUCUGUGGCGGCUCCCAUACUGUGGAAUUCCCUCCCAAGCGAGGUUUGAUGGGCUUCCUCCUUGUUAUCUCUCCACUGGCAGGCUAAGACCUUCUUUUUCAGCUAAUUCGUACAACACAAGCAUCCAGGGUUGGAUUCAAGUGCCAGCAUUUCAGCAAGGAACACAGACAUGAUGUCUCUACAGCAACAGCCACAGUGCAGCCAAUCCAACAUCUGCUUCCUCGCUGCUGAAGCAUCACAAUCCGAGGUUACUAUCGUGCAUUGACCGACAGUAACCGAGCAUGAGUGAGAGAGAGCUGGCUCAUGCGGCGCCUCUGCUGCAAUGCACCUGCUAUGAUAAGGACAGGCUUUUCUUGACUCCUCUAACCAGGAUCAGCAAAUAAUUUAGAGCAAAUCCUAUUUUUGAUCGUUUGCAUCUUUAAAAGGCUCAGGGUAUAGAUUCUUGCAGAACAAAAUAUGCACUUGUUUCAAUGAAUGUGUCAGAAUGAAUUUGUAACAGUACCUCCAAACCAAACAAAACACCACACAGAAAAACCUGGUGAGUUUAAACUGGAUUUUGUCAACAACUCUAUUGUGAAGUCUGCUUUCCCCAACUGUUUUUAAACACUGUUUUCAGUUUAAAGAUAUUUUAGCUAAGACGCAAGAUGUAAAUUACCCGAUGGCAUUAAUUUCAAACAUUGAUUUUGGGAAGGUUUUAACAGUUUGGUGGCCAGCCAAAA